This 411-nucleotide ribosomal RNA is filed under the name Triticum aestivum (bread wheat). RNAcentral's name for it is "partial small subunit ribosomal RNA". Lineage: Eukaryota; Viridiplantae; Streptophyta; Magnoliopsida; Poales; Poaceae. The record is from RNAcentral.
AUGAAAAUGAAAUGCAAAUGCAAAAGUUUUGGAGGUUCUGAGGCAUCAUCUUGUGGAGGACUCAUGUUAAGAUCAAUCCCAAACAUCAUUGCGGCGGUGGAGCACUUGCUCAGCAGCAGCAACAACAGAGGCGGGGGCGGGGAAUACCAGCAGCAACAGAGGCGAGGGCGGGCGCGACCGGAGGAGGGCCAGCACGGAGAGGAAGACCCUGGGCUUGGAGGAGAGGUUGAGCAGGGCCAACGCGGCGAUGAAGACCCUGGGCCAGAGCAGCGACGAAGACCCAGCGCCGCGACGGCGUCCAAAAUUGUCCGCGGCGACGGCGGCCAAGGCGGACCAAAUCGAGGACCUAGUCGUCGAUUUACUGCUUCUUGGCACGAUUCAGAGGGAGGUGACGAAGAGGAAGAACUUUAG